AUCUUGAAGAGAUAUUUGUGCAUCCAUGUUCAUAACAGCAUUAUUUACAAUAGCCAAAAGGUGGAAGCAACCCAAUUGUCCAUUAAUAAUUGAAUGGGUAACAAAAUGUGGUAUACACAUACCAUAGAAUAUUAUUCAAGCUGAAAAAGGAAGGAAAUUCUGAUACAUGUUACAACAUGAAUGAACCUUGAAAACAUUAUGCUAAGUGAAAUAAGCCAGACACAAAAGGGCAAAUAUGGUAUGAUUCCACUUAGGUGAGGUAUCUAGAAUAAGCAAACUUACAGAUACAUAAAGUAGAUUACAGGUUCCAGCAGUUGGGAGGAGAGGGGAAUGGGGAAUUAUUUAAUGGACACAAUUUCUGUUUGGAAUGAUGAACAGUGGUGAUUGUUCAAUAUUGUGAAUAUACUUAAUGCCACUGAAUUGUACACUUGAGAAUGGUUAAAAUGGGAAAGUUUAUGUUAUGUAUAUUUUACCACAGUAAAAAAUAUAAAGAAAAUGAAAUAGGGUAAUGUGAUGGAGAAUGACUGGUGCAUGUGAUUUUGGUGAGCAAUGUCAAGAAAGGCUCUGAGGUGACAUCUUAACUGAGUUUCACUUAUUACAGCUCUAUAACAAAUUAUCCCAAAACAUAGUGGCAUAAAAUAAUCAGUUUUUGUGGUCAUGGAUUUGUGGGUCAGGAAUUUGGACAGGGCACAGAGGGCAUAGUUGUCUAUGAUGUCUGCCUGGUGCUCAGUUGGAAGGCUUGAAGGCUGGGGUUGAAGUCACCUAUAGGCUCACUCAAUUACAGAUCUGGCAGUUGACCCUGGCUAUCUGCUGAGUCCCUAGUUUUGCUAUAGGCCAAAACAUCCACAGGUUGUCUCCCCAGAUGGCCUGGGCUUUCUCACGGUAUGGUGGCUGGGUUCCAAAGGUGAGCAUCCUGAGAGAGAGUCAGGUAUCAAGUGACAUCUCACUUCUUAUAACCUAGCCAUUGAAGUCACUCACUGGCACUCUGUCAAAUACUAUUCAUGGAUGCAGUAAAAAUGUCCCAACCAGAUUGGGAGGUCGAAUGGGAGAAUAGCCUUCACCUCCUACCAGAGACUAGCAAGGUUCUGGAAGAACAUUUGGGACUGGGAAUAUUGCUGUGGCCAUUUUUGGAAAAUAGAAUCUCCCACAGUUCUGAAGGAUGAGAAGAGGCAACCAUAGAAAGAUCUGGGAGAAAGAGCAUUCCAAGAAGAAGCCACAAAAAAGACCCCUCUCCUGCAGCCUCUCCUGUCUCAGAAAAGGCCUGUCAUCAACUUUUGAGAUCUUUUGUUACUUGUGUUACAAAGCAGGGAUGUUCCCUUUGCCUUAAAGGACUGAUAGAGAUUUUUUUAAAGAAACAGCUCUUUGAGAAAUUUUCCUCGGUCUUUAUUACUGUUCCUUCUUUCUGUAGUUCAGGCAGCUGAGAAAGAGGAUUGUAUAAAUAUCAAACAGGAUGUGGAUAUUCAAAAUCAUGCUUUACUUCAGCUAUUGGCCCUCUGCCCUUCACAUUUGCUACAAAUCCACUUUCACGUCUUUUCUACAAGUUAUUGACCCGUCAUGCAGAAACCACCCAUAACUGCCUGUUUCCUUUUUUGAUAGUUGACUGCUGACAGCUUUCAAGCCACCCCUUCUUCCUUUCUAUACUACAUCUGGACAGCUGAUAAGAAAACUUGGAUGCUCUCUCCCUUGGUGUCCUAGCAAGGUGGGGGUGGGAGUUGUUCAAACUAUAUAACCUCUACCUUGCAUGGGAAACCCUUAUCCCAGUCCAGUCCCCUAACCACCAUAAAACUCUAAGCUAGAAACCCCUCCCUGCUUUCUCUCAAUACAUUUUCGGACUAGUUUGGGAACCUGCCAUACUUUACCUAUGAGUCUCAUUGUGUGAAUAAUAAACCUUCUUACUCUUUUGGUGUGUGUGGAGUUAUCAGUCUUGACAUCUAAACCCAAUUUUGGGUGAUUGUGGGGCAUCCAUCCUGCCAUCCCACCACCCCAAUGUGAGUCCUUGAUUAAGCACAGCUCAUGAUUUCAACCGGAAAUCUUCACACACAGAUGUUAGGAAUCAAAUUGUUUCCUUAUAGAAAUUCUGGCUCUACUACGAAAGCACAGUGUAAAAUUAAAACCAUGCCUACUUGCUGGAUUGGAACAAGACAUACUGUUAAACCAUGCAUAAUUACUUUGCUUCCUGUUCUUUUAUUCUGUGGUCUAUCAGUACUAGAAAGUGUUGGCAGUUGCUAAAGGUUUAAGAAAUAUGGCAGAAUAAGUUAAUGCUGAGAAAAAAAAUAAAUCCACUAACAUUUCCUCCUGUCAACUAUAAUUAUUAAAUUUUUAUUUCUGUCCAGCUGAUGGUAGAGAGUUGUUCCCAGGAAAAAUAGUUCGAUACAACAAGAGAAAGGUCAGAGACAUGUAUCUAUCUCUGGAUUUAUUGCUGUGAAGAUAAUGUGGUGAGGGGAUGGAAUGGGGGACCAACAUGAAAGACCUCACAGUGGGAUGGGACCUAUAUCUAUAUCCUGUCUUGAACACAUCCUGUGCCUCAGAUAGGCCCCUCCAGGCCAUGGAUGAACCCACCCCUGAAUAGAGGUGAGGGGAUUCAUCUUGAUUGUGGCCUCUGAGAAAUGUAGUUCUGAGGAGAAUAAACAGGGCCAAGGGAAAUCUGGAACGACAGUUCUGAGGAGCUGAUGGCCCCAGCACUGCCCAAGAAGACUGAAAAUUAAAGGAUGGGUCUAUUGGUGAAAUAAGGUAUUUUCAGGGACCUCUUUUGUUUGUGUCAUUAUUUUCUUCACUGCGUCUCUUGGCAGAGUCCCAGCAAGAGAGUAGUACUAUAUUAAUUGAAGAAAGUAUAAACAAAGGUCAGUGGGACGUGAGCAUUUAGCAAUUAUAGAAAAACAUGAAUACUCCUGACCCUGAAAGAGCAAGGGCAAAAGAAAAGUAUAUUCGUUUCCUAUGAACACCGCAAUAAAUUGCCACAAAUAUGGUUGGUUAAAACAACAGAGAUUUAUUCUCAUUAGUUUAAUGCAGAAGUCUGAAUUCAGUUUCACUGGGCCAAAAUCAAGGUGUUGGCAAGUUCCAGGGAAGACACUAUUCCUUGCCUCUUCCAGCUUGUGGUAGUUGCCAGCUUUCCUUGGCUUGUGGCUGCAUCACUCCAAUCUCUGCCUCCAUUGUACCCUCCUCUUCUGUGUCUAUCAGCAAAUCUCUUUCUGCCUUCCCUCUUACAAGAAUACAUGUGCUUGCUUUUAGAGUCCACCCUGCUAACCAGGAUAACCUCCUUAUCUCAAGAUCCUUAAUCAUACCUGCAAAGUCCUUUUUUUGACAAAUAAUAUUCACAGUUUCCAGGGGUUAGUGUAACCAGACCCGGGGGGACGGGGAAUAAUACUGUGACUUGUCUCUUGUCCCACCCUAUGCAGUUAAAAGGGUUCAAAACAUGCCAUCCCAAAAUAUGCUACUCUGGGAUAUUGACUAUUUUGAAUUAAAGGCACUUGAAAUACAGCAGGUGUAAGAAGAUCACUCUGACCUUAAAUGCAGAAGAUAAAAUCCCCAUGUGAAAGAUGUCCUCCCUAUACAAGAAGGAAAAUUUAAUUCUUGUCAUCAAGAAUGAGAAGUUGAGGCUGAGGGAAAUCUAUACAAACCCUGUUAAAUUAAUCCUUAUCUUCCUAGUCACUUCUCCACCCAAUUAACUUCUCUAGCCCAACCCCCUUUGCCUUGUCACAUUUUCACAAGUUACUACUCUUUGUCCAAUUCAGUAUAUAAGUGUUCAACUUUAACUGUUUCCUUUGGUCUUUAUUUCCUUAUGAAGGCUCUGUGCCACAAAAAAACUUGUAUUAAAUAAACGUGCAUGUUUUUCUCCAUUGAUCUGACUUGUGUCAAUUUAAUUCUUAGGCCCAGCCAAACAAACAAACAAACAAGUACCCUAAGAGGAUAGAGGUAAAGUUUGCCCCCCUGCCCACAGAGUCCAUAGAGAUCAGCCUUUUGCUGGGGCUCAGAGGAGAGUAAAGAAUGCACGUGGAGGGGCAAAAAGAAAGAACCAUGCAAAGCUGUAACUAGGUGUGUAAGGAAAUGAGGCACAAUGGGAGUGUCACUGAGGCAAUCUAUCAUCCAUCAACCAUUCACUCAUUUACUUAACAAUAUUUAUUAAACCUUCGAGUUGGGGGCACCAGGCACCAGAGCACUACUGACUGAUGAGAGCUCAGCCCACAAGAAGCUAACAACACAAUCUGAAAAAGAUAAGCACAAACACAGGGCACCCAAAGAUAGAGGAUAGUAAGCAUCCAGAGAGGGACUUAGGUUAAUGUUGCUGAGUGCAGAAAAGAGGGGAAGAACUUGCAGUGAAGCUGAGAAAGACUGCUUUAACCAGGCUGCUUCUCUAAUGACUGCCAGGCUCUGCCAAUAUAAUGAAUACAGCAAAGUAGAAGCAAGUUUGUUGCAAAAGGAAGAGAGGCAAAGAAUGCGAUCUCUAAUAUGUAAUUGUGGAGACAGAGGUCCUAACCCUAUUACGUCUGUAGGUUCAUGUACAUAUGUGUGUGCAUUCAUAACCACAAUAAUCAAUGGAUGGGGUAUUCUGUGUAAGUGACCCAAGAAAGAAAGCAAGGAGGAAACCACAACACCUUUUAUGACUUAGUUUCUGAGGUCACACACUGCCACAUCCACUUUUUUCUAUUCAUUAGAAAGGGAUCACUAAGUCCAGGCUACACUCCAGAGAAGGGAAGUUAAGCUCCACCCUUUGAAGAAAGUAUCAGAGAAUUUGUAAACAUCUUCCAAACCACUACUGUACCUACCUGUUGCGAGGAUUAGAUAAGACAAAACUUAGAACAGUGCUGGGUUCACGCCCUGCUUGUCUGGAGGAAGUUGUCCUGCAUAGAGUCUCAGAACCAGAAUCGGCCUCAAGCAAUGAAGUUCAUCCAAUCUCUUUAUUUACACAUGGGCAAAUUGAGGACCAGAAAAUAAAGGAUGUGUGCAUGAUUAUAUAGAGUUUGGCAAGCAGAGGCUGUCCUGGACUCUUCUCCAGGAUUUCUCAAAGUUCUGAGCCAAGACUGGGACCUCUCAGAUGUGGAGGUUAGCCUUGGAGGAUAUGUGCCAAGAAGCCAUGCAUGGAGAACCUCAAGUAACAUGAUGAUGCCGUCUGUGUUCAGCUUUGCCAAGAACAUGCCUUUCAACUGAAAACAGGGAAGAUAAAAAGCACUACUACUGGGU
Non-coding RNA from Macaca mulatta (Rhesus monkey), 5178 nucleotides. The record is from RefSeq and is a predicted model, not a curated record. Lineage: Eukaryota; Metazoa; Chordata; Mammalia; Primates; Cercopithecidae.